GCGCUCGUAGCGCAACGGAUAGCGCACUUGAUUCCGAUUCAAGCGGUUGUAGGUUCGAUUCCUAUCGAGCGCGCCA
This 76-nucleotide transfer RNA is filed under the name Erysipelotrichaceae bacterium. Its description in RNAcentral is "tRNA-Arg". It matches the Rfam family "tRNA". Rfam says of the family: Transfer RNA (tRNA) molecules are approximately 80 nucleotides in length. Lineage: Bacteria; Bacillati; Bacillota; Erysipelotrichia; Erysipelotrichales; Erysipelotrichaceae. The record is from RNAcentral.